GAUCAGGAGAAGGUGAAAAGAAACGGGUGAUUACAGUUUUGAAUGACGACAAGGAUGCUGUGAGAGUAUACAGACAAAUGCUUAUAGUUCGUGAUUGAGACACAACCUGUAUGAGCACAAGAAAAUUUCACAAUGUCUUCAACUUGGUGCAUAAAUUUUGCUUAUAAAUUAGCUUUAUUGAGAAGGGCAAAGAC
Non-coding RNA from Camellia sinensis, 194 nucleotides. Lineage: Eukaryota; Viridiplantae; Streptophyta; Magnoliopsida; Ericales; Theaceae. The record is from RefSeq and is a predicted model, not a curated record.